RNAcentral lists this ribosomal RNA (840 nucleotides) under uncultured bacterium. Its description in RNAcentral is "bacterial SSU rRNA". It matches the Rfam family "Bacterial small subunit ribosomal RNA", at positions 79 to 917 of the family's 1533-position model. The record is from RNAcentral.
CUUGCUUCUCUUGAGAGCGGCGGACGGGUGAGUAAUGCCUAGGAAUCUGCCUGGUAGUGGGGGAUAACGUCCGGAAACGGACGCUAAUACCGCAUACGUCCUACGGGAGAAAGCAGGGGACCUUCGGGCCUUGCGCUAUCAGAUGAGCCUAGGUCGGAUUAGCUAGUUGGUGGGGUAAUGGCUCACCAAGGCGACGAUCCGUAACUGGUCUGAGAGGAUGAUCAGUCACACUGGAACUGAGACACGGUCCAGACUCCUACGGGAGGCAGCAGUGGGGAAUAUUGGACAAUGGGCGAAAGCCUGAUCCAGCCAUGCCGCGUGUGUGAAGAAGGUCUUCGGAUUGUAAAGCACUUUAAGUUGGGAGGAAGGGCAGUAAAUUAAUACUUUGCUGUUUUGACGUUACCGACAGAAUAAGCACCGGCUAACUCUGUGCCAGCAGCCGCGGUAAUACAGAGGGUGCAAGCGUUAAUCGGAAUUACUGGGCGUAAAGCGCGCGUAGGUGGUUCGUUAAGUUGGAUGUGAAAUCCCCGGGCUCAACCUGGGAACUGCAUUCAAAACUGACGAGCUAGAGUAUGGUAGAGGGUGGUGGAAUUUCCUGUGUAGCGGUGAAAUGCGUAGAUAUAGGAAGGAACACCAGUGGCGAAGGCGACCACCUGGACUGAUACUGACACUGAGUGCGAAAGCGUGGGGAGCAAACAGGAUUAGAUACCCUGGUAGUCCACGCCGUAAACGAUGUCAACUAGCCGUUGGGAGCCUUGAGCUCUUAGUGGCGCAGCUAACGCAUUAAGUUGACCGCCUGGGGAGUACGGCCGCAAGUUUAAACUCAAAUGAAUUGACGGG